CCGCUUGCAAUAGAAGUUCGGAGUAAAGUCGCUCGUGGCAGGAGGAAGUCUAGAAGAGAUUUGGAGAAUAGUCGAUCACUGUAGAAAAUCGACUGAUAGUGAAGCUCAAAAAUUAUUUGGAGCAGCCUGGUAUAUGAAUGGAGGAGCUCAUCAUCAGAGAAGUUCGGAUGGUAUUAUGGAAGCUUGGACGGUCGAGAGAGUUCAGAAAGACGCCACACA
RNAcentral lists this long non-coding RNA (219 nucleotides) under Elaeis guineensis (African oil palm). RNAcentral's name for it is "long non-coding RNA (EGUI_LNC075129)". Lineage: Eukaryota; Viridiplantae; Streptophyta; Magnoliopsida; Arecales; Arecaceae. The record is from RNAcentral.